Molecule: long non-coding RNA, 448 nt
Filed under: Homo sapiens (human)
Lineage: Eukaryota; Metazoa; Chordata; Mammalia; Primates; Hominidae
Description: HSALNT0206813
Source: RNAcentral
UCCUAAAUAGAGAUGGCUCUAUGUCAUAGGGUAGAGAUUAAAGAUGGCAUCUUCCAGGAGGCCAUAGGAGGGGAUAUGCACUUGAAACUCAGCAAUGCUUAUCUGUUCGUCCUCUAAUUAUUAUGCUGGUCUAGAACACAGACCUGGAAGACAAGGCUAAGAAAAUGGACAGACUCUAAACAGAUCAUAAAAGACCACGAGUGUAUUCCUUAGGACUGUGGACCUUCAUUUAUAGGAAUUUGGGGUUAAAGUUGAGAGCAAAACACAUCCAUGUGAAAAUCCUGUCCAAAGAAAAUUUGCUCUAAGACCUGAGGACACAUCUGCAUGUUUUGCAGCUUGCGGGAAAAGAGCCAGAGAAGAAGUGAGGAAAGGACAAGGAAGUAAGAAUAAAGCAUAUAGAAACAUUUCUCUCCCUUAAGAAAACAAGUGCGGAUACAUGGCAAAGUCC